ACUCCAUUUAAGGGCUGACUGCUGUAGGGAAUGGGUUUCUUUCUGGAGAUCUCUCCUUAGUUUUAGCUUAGGGGAGCUUUGCCCUGUGAACCUGGAAUCUUCUGAUACAGGUGUAUGAAACUUAAAGGCAGUUCUAUCUUGUAAGCUCCUGGAGAUACUGUUGGCUGUGUUGGGCAGCAUCAUACAGAUGUGCCUGUCUUUGAGAUCUUCUGGAGUCCAGCUGCUGAGCAAAGCAGGGAAAUUGAAGUUCACUCAUCCAAACUGCUCUGACUACAGCAAUUGUGGCACAGCAAUUUAUGGGAAGACAAGGGAAGAAAGAAAGGCUAAACACAUUUAAUUCCUCAGGGCUGCACAGGCCUGUGGAAAAUCUCAGCCUUGGGACUGAGAAAAGAGAACAAACCUGAACUCUUCCCCAUCACCAGCAGAAAAACAACUUUGUAAUUCAAAGACUUUGCUGUUUUGUUGUCAACAGAUUAGAAAGGCAGAGAGAUAUUCCCACUUGUGUCAGGUUGGAUUGCAAUUUAACAUUAAAAUAGGAUUGUCUGUCUGCAAAUCUAUUUGUGGCUAUUUCUGAACUUUUCUUGACAAAAGCAAGGAAAAGUGAUCUAUAAAUCAUCAUGUUACAGAUGUCUUACGUUAUCCCGGUUGGUUUUAGGAACAGAAAAGGUAUAUUUGUUUCUUCAUUUCCCCACACUUAUCCUUAAAAUGCAGCUUUGGUUUUAUCUUCGUUAAACAGAAAUGACCUUUCUGUCAGUAGCUUGGCUGAUAAUGUUGUGCAAGCCUUUGGCAAUGACAGUGCGCAGUGGGGAUUGUGUUGGAUAUAUGCAGAUCCAUUCUUUCAAAACAAGAAUAGAAACAUGAUUGCACAUUUUUGUAGCACCAUGUAAAACUGAAUAAGUGAGCUUACCUUUUCCUGCACUGUCUGUUGCAGCACUGAUUGAUAGCUGCUGUAGGGAGCUCAGGGCUGCGGUUUUGGGGGGAGUGAGGCAAGACUGGUGUUUGUGUCCCUUUCCAGCUGUUCUCCCCCACUUCCAGUGAAAUGGGUUGUACCAUGUUUUCUGUGCAUCCUUAUUUUUCUCUCCCUUUGUAACUUUUUCCUGCUUUUUACAGUGAUCUUUGAAAACAAUCUGUAUUAUUGUGGCAUAGUUUUCUAAAACUGCUUACUUAAGAAGCUGUGUAUUUGACAGAACCUAAGGAAACAAAGACUGAGUGUAGCUGUGAAAAAGAAAAACAAUGUUCAUUUGUUUACAUUUACUGAAUACACCAGGAAGGCAACACUGGUGAUUUCAGUUAGAUUUGUUUGGAGAGAGCUCAGCAUCUUCUACCAUGGCUAUCAGAGAGCUGUCUGAAGCCAGGAACCCUUACAUUAUAGUUGGAACUAGAUGCUUACAUUAUAGUUGGAGCUAGGUGGAGGAAAAUUGCACAAAAACAUCUUUUAAUCCAACACCAAUGAGGUUUUCAGAUUAAAAAGAAGAAAAAAAGCUCUCCAAAAGCUUUUGCUUUUAAUUUCAAGCUUUAUUUAUGUUUUGAAAGAUAGAUACCAGGUUUUCUAUUGUAUUAACAUUUCUUUUCCUUUUUCCUUUUUUUCUUCAGAAAUUUUUCAGGUAUUGAUGGAAGAAAGAAACCAUUUCCAUCUAAAACUCCUAUUAAAAGCAAAAGGCACCUAAAUUCUGCACAUACUUUUCAUGCUAGCAUAUUAAUGUGUUUUCUGGCCAGUGGCAGUUCUUAGUCUCAGUAGAAGCUCAUAAUUGGAGUUUGCUAAG
Molecule: long non-coding RNA, 1763 nt
Organism: Lagopus muta (rock ptarmigan)
Lineage: Eukaryota; Metazoa; Chordata; Aves; Galliformes; Phasianidae
Exons: 3
Source: RefSeq, a predicted model, not a curated record